This 1328-nucleotide long non-coding RNA is filed under the name Elaeis guineensis (African oil palm). Its description in RNAcentral is "long non-coding RNA (EGUI_LNC028591)". The record is from RNAcentral. Lineage: Eukaryota; Viridiplantae; Streptophyta; Magnoliopsida; Arecales; Arecaceae.
CAAUUACUGUGGGCAUAAAGCAGCAACUUGGGUAACUCUAAGGGUGCAUGAGGCAUUUAAAGAGUGUUUUUGAUACUACUGAGAUGUGAAAUAAGCAUGAUUAUACAUGUACUGCUACUGCUAGUUAAUAGCAACAUUCAUGUUCUGACAAAUGUUGCAGAAAGGUCAAGUAAGACAUGGGUCUAAACCAAGUAUUGAGGUGACUUUCAGAUGAUACAACUGUGGGCCAACAUCGGUCAUAUAUGAGGAAUAAGAGUUUAACAAGUUAUGUGGUAACCAGGUGACCUGUUGACCCAUUAGCAUUGGCUGCUUGAGACAAAUAAGGAUAUGAAGGAGAAAAUAACAAGAGACACAAUGAAGAAAAAAAGAACAAGAAAGAAACAAAGAAAGAAAGAAGCAACUGGCCCCUAUACAGCUAUUAAGACAAACUUUCUUAUUUUUCUUGUUCAUUUAUUGAGCCCCACUUCUCUGCUUCUUAACUUAGGGAGAUUUGAGGAUCCAAUUUCCUGAAGAAAAACCAUGAUCAACAUGGGUUAGCCAUAGGAUUCACAAAUACAACAAAAUAUUUAGUAUUUAUAGAAGAACAAUGAGGACCAAAAACAUGCUCACCUUCUCUUUUCCCAUGGAGCAUGGCAGAUCUCCACAUUGUUGGUAAAGUUGGUCUUAGGGCCCAAGGACAUGUCUUUGCAUUCAUUCGCAUCUUUGAUGAAAAACCCACAUUCAUCAAUUGUCCUAUAUCCAAUCUAAAAAUAAGCAAAACCCCUCUGAUAUUCAAUAACAUAGAUCAGUCCUUGAAAAACCAUGACAAACCUUCCUUGACACACCUACAAUGGCAAAUGCUAUGUGCUCACACAAAACCAAACAAAAGUGGAAAACCAUAAUGAUAAUCAAAGACGACCAAAUGCAAGGAUGAAGACAAACCAUUCAAAAAGCUUUUAGGGCCUAGUUUGGAAAUGGCAUAACGAUAGGACAAGGAAUUUAUCCUGCUUUAUACUUGGGAUAAAUGCAAAACAUGCCAAAAAUAACCUAGAAUUACUUAUCUCCAACACCUCAGUCAUACCAGCAUUACCAGGACCCAUGAUACCCUAGGAUACAACGAACCAGGUUAACCCCAUAUUUAUCAGACCUUAAUUAUUGAAAUGACCAAAAAAACCCAUUUAUGAGCAAAAAGGAAAAAACAAAAAGAAGGGCAUAUUUGUUUUUUAACCCCAUAUUUGUUUUUUAACCCAACAGUAAUUAUUGUAAUGUCAGUUGUACCAUGGUACAGCCUAAUCACGACAUGUGGAUAAAAUUGAUUUAUUUAAACAAAAUGAAAGGACUUAUCCCAC